AGCAGUGGGGAAUAUUGGACAAUGGGCGCAAGCCUGAUCCAGCAAUGCCGCGUGGAUGAAGAAGGUCUUCGGAUUGUAAAGUCCUUUCGGCGGGGACGAUGAUGACGGUACCCGCAGAAGAAGCCCCGGCUAACUUCGUGCCAGCAGCCGCGGUAAUACGAAGGGGGCUAGCGUUGCUCGGAAUGACUGGGCGUAAAGGGCGCGUAGGCGGAUUGAUUAGUCAGGCGUGAAAUUCCUGGGCUUAACCUGGGGGCUGCGUUCGAUACGGUUGGUCUAGAGUUUGGAAGAGGGUCGUGGAAUUCUCUAGUGUAGAGGUGAAAUUCGUAGAUAUUGGGAAGAACAUCGGUGGCGAAGGCGGCGACCUGGUCCUUGACUGACGCUGAGG
This 385-nucleotide ribosomal RNA is filed under the name uncultured bacterium. RNAcentral describes it as "bacterial SSU rRNA". It matches the Rfam family "Bacterial small subunit ribosomal RNA", at positions 350 to 751 of the family's 1533-position model. The record is from RNAcentral.